AGCGGCGGACGGGUGAGUAACGCGUGGGUAACCUGCCUCAUACAGGGGGAUAACAGUUGGAAACGGCUGCUAAUACCGCAUAAGCGCACAGUACCGCAUGGUACCGUGUGAAAAACUCCGGUGGUAUGAGAUGGACCCGCGUCUGAUUAGCUAGUUGGUGGGGUAACGGCCUACCAAGGCGACGAUCAGUAGCCGACCUGAGAGGGUGACCGGCCACAUUGGGACUGAGACACGGCCCGA
RNAcentral lists this ribosomal RNA (240 nucleotides) under uncultured bacterium. RNAcentral's name for it is "partial 16S ribosomal RNA". It matches the Rfam family "Bacterial small subunit ribosomal RNA", at positions 94 to 334 of the family's 1533-position model. The record is from RNAcentral.